RNAcentral lists this ribosomal RNA (529 nucleotides) under Mediorhynchus gallinarum. RNAcentral describes it as "SSU rRNA". It matches the Rfam family "Eukaryotic small subunit ribosomal RNA", at positions 510 to 1040 of the family's 1831-position model. Lineage: Eukaryota; Metazoa; Acanthocephala; Archiacanthocephala; Gigantorhynchida; Gigantorhynchidae. The record is from RNAcentral.
UGGAAUGAGUACAAUCUAAAUCCUUUAACGAGGAACAAUUGGAGGGCAAGUUCUGGUGCCAGCAGCCGCGGUAAUUCCAGCUCGAAUAGCGUAUAUUAAAGUUGUUGCAGUUAAAAAGCUCGUAGUUGGAUAUCAGGAGAUGAUUCACGGACUUCUCAAUGGAGCAACCGUGUUUUCGCUCCUUUUUGUACCGUUUCAUCGUUGAUGCACUUUAUUGUGUGUCACGUUUGAACGGCCUUUUUACUUUGAGAAAAUUAGCGUGCUUAACGCAGGCAUGAAAGCUUGUAUAAUGUUGCAUGGAAUAAUGAAAUAGGACCUCGGUUCUGUUUUGUUGGUUUCCGGAAGCUGAGGUAAUGAUUAAUAGGGACAGACGGGGGCAUUCGUAUUGUGGUGUUAGAGGUGAAAUUCUUGGAUCACCGCAAGACGAACAACUGCGAAAGCAUUUGCCAAGAAUGUUUUCAUUAAUCAAGAACGAAAGUUAGAGGUUCGAAGACGAUUAGAUACCGUCCUAGUUCUAACUAUAAACUAU